RNAcentral lists this transfer RNA (78 nucleotides) under Marinilabilia rubra. RNAcentral describes it as "Marinilabilia sp. WTE tRNA-Pro". It matches the Rfam family "tRNA". Rfam says of the family: Transfer RNA (tRNA) molecules are approximately 80 nucleotides in length. Their secondary structure includes four short double-helical elements and three loops (D, anti-codon, and T loops). The record is from RNAcentral. Lineage: Bacteria; Pseudomonadati; Bacteroidota; Bacteroidia; Marinilabiliales; Marinilabiliaceae.
CGGGGUAUAGCACAGUCCGGUUAGUGUACCUGCUUUGGGAGCAGGGGGUCGCAGGUUCGAAUCCUGCUACCCCGACAA